RNAcentral lists this ribosomal RNA (119 nucleotides) under Pteropus alecto (black flying fox). The record is from RNAcentral. Lineage: Eukaryota; Metazoa; Chordata; Mammalia; Chiroptera; Pteropodidae.
GUCUAUGGCCAUGCCACCCUGAACAAGUCCGAUCCCGUCUGAUCUCAGAAGCUAAGCAGGGUCGAGCCUGGUUAGUAAUUGGAUGGGAGACCACCUAGUAAGGCCAGGUGCUGUAGGUG